Molecule: ribosomal RNA, 273 nt
Filed under: uncultured bacterium
Lineage: Bacteria
Description: partial 16S ribosomal RNA
Rfam family: Archaeal small subunit ribosomal RNA
Source: RNAcentral
UACCAGCACCCCGAGUGGUCGGGACGAUUAUUGGGCCUAAAGCAUCCGUAGCCGGUUCUACAAGUCUUCCGUUAAAUCCAGCUGCUUAACAGUUGGGCUGCGGAGGAUACUAUAGAGCUAGGAGGCGGGAGAGGCAAGCGGUACUUAGUGGGUAGGGGUAAAAUCCGUUGAUCCACUGAAGACCACCAGUGGCGAAGGCGGCUUGCCAGAACGCGCUCGACGGUGAGGGAUGAAAGCUGGGGGAGCAAACCGGAUUAGAUACCCUAGUAGUCC